AUGGAACCUGAAUAUUCCCGCGGAAGGAGGGCGACUGUGGUGUCACAACCAAAGUUUGAGGCAAGAUGGCUGGAGGAGGAGCAAUGUGAAGAUGUGGUAAAAAAUGCGUGGAACUUGGCUAUGCUGACAAGUGAUACUACUGUUGCCGAGGCAAUCAGAAGAGUGGGGUAUGAUUUGCACUCGUGGAGCAAGGAGAUAUUGGGGGAUCUGAAAAAUAGGAUUAAAAGAGCAAAAAAGGACCUGAACCGGUGUAGGAAGGGGGCGAUCUCCAAACAGCAGGUGGCUCAGGAGCAACUGUUGCGUUAUAAGUUGGAAAGGCUUCAGGACCAGAAGAAUAUUUACUGGAAGCAAAGGGCGCAUGCUCAUUGGCUGAAAGAUGGGGACCGAAACACGAGCUUCUUUCAUGCUUGUGCGUCGAAUAGGAGAAGGGUGAACCAAAUUAAAAAGCUGCAUACUGAUGAGGGAGGCGUGGUGGAGGGAGAGGAGGAGUUGCGGGAGCUCAUUGCUAGCUAUUAUAAGUCUCUUUUCUCUUCUGUGGCAGGGACAAGGGAGGCUGAACUCCUAUGUAAAGUGUUUCCUGUGGUCACUACAAAGAUGAACGUGUAUCUUUCAAAGCCUUUCACCAUUGAAGAAAUUAGGGAGGCUCUGAAUUCUAUGGGGGACUUGAAAGCACCAGGGCCGGAUGGUAUGCCAGCAAUCUUCUACAAAAGGUUUUGGGGCCUGGUGGGGCCAAAGGUUCAGGAGGCGGUCCUUGGUGUCCUGAACGGGGGUCAUGUGCCCGUCGGCUGGAAUGAGACCAUUGUUGUUCUGAUUCCAAAGGUCCUUAAUCCAUCGCGAAUGAAGGACCUUAGGCCUAUCAGCCUGUGCAAUGUGGUUUUCAAGAUCAUAACAAAGGUGAUUGCCCGUCGCUUGAAGGAGGUGCUGCCAGCGAUUAUAUCCCCAAGUCAAAGUGCCUUCGUGCUGGGAAGAUUGAUAACGGACAACGUGUUGAUCGCUUACGAGACCACUCACUUCAUGCAUCAGCGUAAGGGGGGAAGAGACGGGCUGGCGGCUGUCAAACUGGAUAUGAGCAAGGCAUAUGACCGCGUUGAGUGGUCUUUUUUGGAAAAUAUGAUGCUGAAGAUGGGGUUUUCCCGGGACUAG
RNAcentral lists this ribosomal RNA (1143 nucleotides) under Triticum aestivum (bread wheat). RNAcentral describes it as "partial small subunit ribosomal RNA". Lineage: Eukaryota; Viridiplantae; Streptophyta; Magnoliopsida; Poales; Poaceae. The record is from RNAcentral.